This is a long non-coding RNA of Oreochromis aureus, 707 nucleotides long. The record is from Ensembl. Lineage: Eukaryota; Metazoa; Chordata; Actinopteri; Cichliformes; Cichlidae.
GGUUUUUCUAAACAUUCUCCAUUUAAGGACAGAUCACAGCUAAAUGCUGAAGACUUUACUUUAACAGUGAGAAAACUGACUCUUCAAGAUUCUGGUGAUUUCAUUUUUGUCUCAGCAAUAAAUGACAAACAGAGGAAAUCAGUCAUCAUCACUUUGCAAGUUUAUGCCCAUAACUAAGCAGCCUCUUCUGAAAAUCCUAAAUUUCAGCCAGGAGGCCUCAAACAAAUUUUGCACAGUUCUGCUGGAGUGUAGCUCAACUGGCAAUGUCACCUUCAACUGGACUGUAGGGAGUCAAACACAAACUGGAACCAGGCUGCAUCACAUUAUGAAGGAGGAGGAUGGAGAAAUCACUUUCACAUGCACAGUUUCCAAUCAUGGCUCACAACUGACAAUGAUGGGAGGAGACGUAACAAUAUGCAACCGCAAUUAAAAUUUAAAUUAAAACAAAUACGACAAUUUGAAAAAUCUAUAAACCCAUAUUCAGCAGAUAGAGGAGGUGGCUGAUACCCAGAAAUCCUACCAGUGGCUGGACAAAGCUGGACUGAAAGACAGCACAGAGGCACUAAUCAUGGCAGCACAGGAACAAGCUCUGAGCACAAGAUCCAUAGAGGCUGGGGUCUAUCACACCAGGCAAGACCCCAGGUGCAGGCUGUGUAAAGAUGCCCCAGAGACAAUCCAGCACAUAACAGCAGGGUGCAAGAUGCUAG